AAGUCGGUAACAAGGUUUCCGAUAAGGUGGAACCGUGCGGAAGGAUCAUUAUUGAAUUGUGGAAUGGGCUUGAUGCUGGCUUGUCCAUCCUUUGGCUGCAUGUGCUCGCCCCAGCAAUCCUUUUCCAAACACCUGUGCACCUUCCCUUGUGAGAAUGGGAGAGAAAGGGCUUGCCUCUUUUAUCUCGUCUCAUGAUUCAUAAACGCUGUUUGUGAUGUUGAAUGCAUUUAUGCCGUCAAGGCUUUAACCUAAUACAA
RNAcentral lists this unclassified non-coding RNA (257 nucleotides) under plant metagenome. Its description in RNAcentral is "partial contains small subunit ribosomal RNA and internal transcribed spacer 1". The record is from RNAcentral.